AGUACAGGAGAGGAAAGCGGAAUUCCUAGUGUAGCGGUGAAAUGCGUAGAUAUUAGGAAGAACACCAGUGGCGAAGGCGGCUUUCUGGACUGAAACUGACGCUGAGGCUCGAAAGCGUGGGGAGCAAACAGGAUUAGAUACCCUGGUAGUCCACGCCGUAAACGAUGAGUGCUAGGUGUCGGGGAGGAAUCCUCGGUGCCGCAGCUAACGCAAUAAGCACUCCACCUGGGGAGUACGACCGCAAGGUUGAAACUCAAAGGAAUUGACGGGGGCCCGCACAAGCGGUGGAGCAUGUGGUUUAAUUCGAAGCAACGCGAAGAACCUUACCAAGGCUUGACAUCCCGAUGACCGCUCUAGAGAUAGAGCUUCUCUUCGGAGCAUCGGUGACAGGUGGUGCAUGGUUGUCGUCAGCUCGUGUCGUGAGAUGUUGGGUUAAGUCCCGCAACGAGCGCAACCCUUAUCUUCAGUAGCCAUCAUUCAGUUGGGCACUCUGGAGAGACUGCCGUGGAUAACACGGAGGAAGGUGGGGAUGACGUCAAAUCAUCAUGCCCCUUAUGUCUUGGGCUACACACGUGCUACAAUGGCUGGUAACAAAGUGACGCGAAACGGCGACGUUAAGCAAAUCACAAAAACCCAGUCCCAGUUCGGAUUGUAGUCUGCAACUCGACUACAUGAAGCUGGAAUCGCUAGUAAUCGCGAAUCAGCAUGUCGCGGUGAAUACGUUCCCGGGCCUUGUACACACCGCCCGUCACACCAUGGGAGUUGGAAGCACCCGAAGUCGGUGACCUAACCGUAAGGAAGGAGCCGCCGAAGGUGAAGCCAGUGACUGGGGUGAAGUCGUAACAAGGUAACCA
RNAcentral lists this ribosomal RNA (854 nucleotides) under uncultured bacterium. RNAcentral describes it as "bacterial SSU rRNA". It matches the Rfam family "Bacterial small subunit ribosomal RNA", at positions 645 to 1502 of the family's 1533-position model. The record is from RNAcentral.